RNAcentral lists this ribosomal RNA (229 nucleotides) under uncultured bacterium. RNAcentral describes it as "partial 16S ribosomal RNA". It matches the Rfam family "Bacterial small subunit ribosomal RNA", at positions 568 to 796 of the family's 1533-position model. The record is from RNAcentral.
UGCGCAGGCGGAAUAAUAAGUCAGUGGUGAAAUCUCUCGGCUCAACCGAGAAACUGCCAUUGAUACUGUUAUUCUUGAGUAUAGUUGUAGUGGGCGGAAUAUAGCAUGUAGCGGUGAAAUGCUUAGAUAUGCUAUAGAACACCAAUCGCGAAGGCAGCUCACUAAACUAUAACUGACGCUCAGGCACGAAAGCGUGGGGAGCAAACAGGAUUAGAUACCCUGGUAGUCC